CAGCCGUAAACAAUGUGCGUUAGGUGUGUCGGUAACCACGCGUUACUGAUGCGCCGAAGAGAAAUCGUGAAACGCACCACCUGGGAAGUACGGUCGCAAGGCUGAAACUUAAAGGAAUUGGCGGGGGAGCACCACAACAGGUGGAGCCUGCGGUUUAAUUGGAUUCAACACCGUAAACUACACCAGGGAAGGACUGUUACAUGAAAGCCGAGAUGAAGACUCUGCUAGAUUUUCAGAGAGGAGGUGCAUGGCGUCAGUGACU
Molecule: ribosomal RNA, 262 nt
Filed under: uncultured archaeon
Lineage: Archaea
Description: partial 16S ribosomal RNA
Rfam family: Archaeal small subunit ribosomal RNA
Source: RNAcentral